GCACCAUUCGUCUAGCGGUUAGGAUACCCGCCUGUCACGCGGGAGAUCACGGGUUCGAAUCCCGUAUGGUGCG
Molecule: transfer RNA, 73 nt
Filed under: Catonella sp.
Lineage: Bacteria; Bacillati; Bacillota; Clostridia; Lachnospirales; Lachnospiraceae
Description: tRNA-Asp
Rfam family: tRNA
About the family: Transfer RNA (tRNA) molecules are approximately 80 nucleotides in length.
Source: RNAcentral